This 75-nucleotide transfer RNA is filed under the name Victivallis vadensis. RNAcentral's name for it is "tRNA-Met". It matches the Rfam family "tRNA". From Rfam's summary of the family: Transfer RNA (tRNA) molecules are approximately 80 nucleotides in length. Their secondary structure includes four short double-helical elements and three loops (D, anti-codon, and T loops). The record is from RNAcentral. RNAcentral also lists the same sequence under 1 other name. Lineage: Bacteria; Pseudomonadati; Lentisphaerota; Lentisphaeria; Victivallales; Victivallaceae.
UGCGGGGUGGAGCAGUGGUAGCUCGUCAGGCUCAUAACCUGAAGGCCAAUGGUUCGAUUCCAUUCCCCGCUACCA